Long non-coding RNA from Zingiber officinale, 579 nucleotides. RefSeq lists it as uncharacterized. NCBI's taxonomy places the organism in Eukaryota, Viridiplantae, Streptophyta, Magnoliopsida, Zingiberales, Zingiberaceae. The record is from RefSeq and is a predicted model, not a curated record. The transcript has 3 exons.
AUCCUAACCUAAUUACCUCUAGUGCUGAUCCUUAUUUUUUCCUACGCCGAUUUCCUCCCUAGCUAGCACACGCCGCCGAUUCUUUCUGCUGUCGUCGAUUCUGCUUUUGCCGUCGUCGUUAUUCUCACCGACGCUCACAUCCUUGUCGCCGAUCCUCUCACUUUCUCCUCCCUAACCUGCUCUCACCCGUCGCCGCUCCUCUCACACAUGCUCACGCAUCUCUGUCCAUGUCGCCGCCACUGCCAGCCGCCGGCCUCCAUCGUGCGUCUCCACCACGAUUCAGCAGCACUCCCUGAAGCUUUAAAGGUUCAGUCUGAUUGUGAUGUGGGAUGGAAGCUUGGUUGUUGCUGCAAAUAAUCAUGGAACAUGUUAUGUCUGACGCUUACUAAAAGAGGUAUUGGAGGUUUGAUGCGAAAUGGACUUUUUUGGAGAUCUUAAGAAUGCCAAACAUUUUUAUAUAUGAAGACUUUAGAGGAAUGAAUACUCUUGAUGUAAAUGGAUUUGAAUUUUACAAGUUUAAGGAUGUAAAGCAUGAACUAAUGGAUGAUAUUUUAAUAAAUAUGGUAUUUUUAUUUUUAA